This is a long non-coding RNA of Vespula pensylvanica (western yellowjacket), 1325 nucleotides long. RefSeq lists it as uncharacterized. Lineage: Eukaryota; Metazoa; Arthropoda; Insecta; Hymenoptera; Vespidae. The record is from RefSeq and is a predicted model, not a curated record. The transcript is spliced from 3 exons.
AAAAGAAAAAGAAAAAGAAAUCGCAAAUGGCUCUAUUUCUAUCGAUCUAAUUUUUGCAAUUUUAAAAGAACGCAUUCCCUCUCUCUCUCUCUCUCUUAUUUGCGAAGCAAGGAAAUAUAUGAUCGUCUUGAAUCGUUCGUUCGAGGCUCGAGGCUGAGCCUUCUGAGGAACUUACGCUCCAAUUCGCGCGAGCCGGGUCACGGGGUCGUUAUUACACGCGAGCUUACGAAUGUGAGGAAGGCGGAAGAGAGUAGGAACAACGCGUCUAUGCGACGCCAACGAUAGUAACUAUCUCUCUAAGAGAAGAGAGUCGUGGAUCCAAAGUGACGCUGUACUCGAAGAAUAUUUAUUUUGUGUCUUUUGAUCGCGUUUUCCUCGUCGUCGACGUUAUACGCCAGUUGCCGAGGAGUCAAACACAUUUCCAAGAUAAAUUCUAGUAGUCUAGUAGAGGAAAAAAAGCGUCAAAGCGGACUACCACAGCGUUACUACAUGGAAAAAGUUUACAAUCGGAUAGUCCUCGCGGAAACACUUCGUGUCCAAAACAUUGAAGUAGAGGAACCCGAUCUUACUAGCAAUUUUGUCACCCGAACGCUGGAGGCAGUCAUAGAACUUCUCGUCGCAGGAACAAUGCAACCUUACGCCACCGUCGUUGGUCACCGGAGGAACGGUGAAGGGUUAAAUUAUUGAAUAUCGAUAAAGGGAGGACUUGGAAUACGCGCGACAACCUCUCAUAUCCCGUGGGAGAACAACCCAUCAAAAUUGUCGUUAUUCGAAGAAGGAAAGGAAAAAUCGGAAAUAAUCAGAAAAUCAAUGGCCGACUAUAAUAAAUGUUGAAACAAACGUAGCUAAUCACGAUGUAAUGGCCAAUAACUUUUGGCUUCUCUACCGGGGCCGAAAAAGAGGACAAAAACAAAAGGAAUAAAAAAAAAAAAGGAAUUAAAAAAGAUUAAUCCUUUGUUUAUGACACUCAAAUUGUAUCUGCUAGCGAUCACUAUGCCCGAGUUUCAUUGCGAUUCAUUUAUUCCAGUUCGUUGGAACGAACUAAUAAAGGAUGCAACGUAGACGACACGUCGCUGCGUCUGCACGCGUGUAAACGACACGCGUAAUGAUGACACGAGCGGUAGAAUAUGGAAGCAAUAAAAGUAACGUCGCUCGAUAAUCCACGGGAUGUGUGGACGACAAGCAAACAAUAUAGUGGAUACGUAUAGUACGUAUACAGGUUAAACUCGUUAAUCAAUCAUUAAUACAUUUUUUAAGAAAGUACGAAUAAAAAUAACUCGUUGGAAUAUGAUCAAAAUCAUAAGUACGAAAGAAGAAGAUUCGAC